UUUUCCUGCUGACUUGUGCACUCGAAAGAGACCUUCAAUCACCAUUGUAAAUAAGAGGGCAGCGAGGCCAUUGAUGAUGAUGAAAUGGGCCGUGAUGGCUAGGAAAGGUAAUUCCUGGCUUUAGCAAGGGUGCCGAAGCUAUACGUCCCAAGAAAAAGAGGAUUACUGAAAAAAAAUAUGCAAAUGAAUCCAACUUGGCAGACGAUAUGAAUGACUGUGGUGAUAUAAGCAAUGAGAAUAAUAUGGAAUUUCUAUUGGACAACGACGUGGAAUGCACUCCUGCUGCAACAAACGGAAUAAUUGAAGUUGCUUUUGUUGAGGCAGAAACAGGAAAAGAUUUACAUUUACAAGAACCAUUGGUGCAGGUCCCAGAUGACACAAGUUGAGAAAUGGAAAUGAAGAUACUUUGGAUAAAACUGCUCGAGUAACUGGAUUGCCCUUUUAGACUUGCAGUUCAGAAAUCAAAUAAUGGAUUGGAUAUGCUUGCUUUUGAAUGAAGCUUUGCCACAGUCAGGCCACUUGCUCCUUCAGGCUGUGGGCUAGGAUGACCUUUUUCCAGCUAGCAUUAUCCACCUGGAACGACUAACUGGACUGGGACUGCAUCAUGACGCGUCUCAGCGAUGAGAAAUGUAAGAAUUCUGUCUGAUCUGAUAUGGGACACUAUGGUUUAACCACUCAUUAACUCUAUGGAGGCGUGCAAUCAUCCUUCUUUUCUGCUGGUAUGGUAAUUGAAUUCAGAAUAUCUUUUUAAUGCUUCUGGGUUUUUUUGGCUUUGCCAGAAGUAAAAGACUAACACAUUGUUUCUCCAAGCUGAUGAAAGUUGUGCUAACUUUACACCUUGUUAAGCUGAAAAGCGGCACACAGGAUGAUGUAGAUUACUUAUUUUAAUCACUCUGAAUAUUGAUUCCUAAUCAGAUGAAAGUAUAGUUUCUCAAACUUCCUAAUAUCUAAUGAAAUUAGCAGCCAUGGCUGUGCUUCUUUCAGCUGUCAAGCCAAAUCUCUGACAACAAACAAUCAAAGGUGCAGACAAGGUGAAUAUUAAUCCUACUCAAGUAGCUUAAUUAGCAUACGAACCAAACGCUGUCAUUAGCAUGUUCUUGUUCUUUUCUGCAUAAAUAUUGAUGCUUCAAAUUAAAUUGAUAACUUUUUACAGCACUAAUGGCAUUAGUUUUUUUUUGAUAAAUUG
Long non-coding RNA from Phalaenopsis equestris, 1186 nucleotides. RefSeq lists it as uncharacterized. NCBI's taxonomy places the organism in Eukaryota, Viridiplantae, Streptophyta, Magnoliopsida, Asparagales, Orchidaceae. The record is from RefSeq and is a predicted model, not a curated record. The transcript is spliced from 5 exons.